RNAcentral lists this ribosomal RNA (430 nucleotides) under Monticellia coryphicephala. RNAcentral's name for it is "partial 16S ribosomal RNA". It matches the Rfam family "Bacterial large subunit ribosomal RNA", at positions 1830 to 2602 of the family's 2925-position model. Lineage: Eukaryota; Metazoa; Platyhelminthes; Cestoda; Proteocephalidea; Monticelliidae. The record is from RNAcentral.
UUUCCAUAUAAAACUCUUUAUGGUAGUACCUGCUCUAUGUAAAUUUUAUAAAUGGCCGCAGUAUCUUGACUGUGCAAAGGUAGCAUAAUUAAUUGCCUUAUAAUUGAAGGCUUGUCUGAAUGGUUUGACGUGGUAAUUACAAAUAUUCGGUUUUUUGUUGAAAUUAAUAUGGAGGGCACAGAAUCCUCCUACUUUAAUUAGACGGAAAGACCCCAGGAUCUUUCGUUUUUGUCUGGGGCAGAUGAAAAUUUUUCAUUUUUAUUGUGACCCUUUUUGGUUCAAUGAGUUAAGUUACCCUGGGGAUAACAGUGUAAUAGUUUAUUAGAGGCCUUAUCGAAUAAACUGUUUGCUACCUCGAUGUUGACUUAGGUAAGUAGUCUAGGCGCAGCAGUCUAGGCUUUUGGUCUGUUCGACCUUUGUUACCUCCAUG